RNAcentral lists this ribosomal RNA (778 nucleotides) under uncultured Alphaproteobacteria bacterium. RNAcentral describes it as "bacterial SSU rRNA". It matches the Rfam family "Bacterial small subunit ribosomal RNA", at positions 57 to 883 of the family's 1533-position model. Lineage: Bacteria; Pseudomonadati; Pseudomonadota; Alphaproteobacteria. The record is from RNAcentral.
GCAAGUCGAACGAAGUAGCAAUACUUAGUGGCAGACGGGUGAGUAACAUGUAGGUAUCUGCCCUUUGGCCUGGAAUAACACGAGGAAACUUGUGCUAAUACCGGAUAAGUCUUUACGGAGAAAGCUUUAUGCACCAUUGGAUGAGCCUGCACUUGAUUAGUUUGUUGGUGGGGUAAUGGCCUACCAAGACUGUGAUCAAUAGCUGAUUUGAGAGGAUGAUCAGCCACAUUGGGACUGAGACACGGCCCAAACUCCUACGGGAGGCAGCAGUGGGGAAUCUUGCACAAUGGAGGAAACUCUGAUGCAGCGAUGCCGCGUGAGUGAAGAAGGCCUUUGGGUUGUAAAGCUCUUUCGUCGGGGAAGAAAAUGACUGUACCCGAAUAAGAAGGUCCGGCUAACUUCGUGCCAGCAGCCGCGGUAAUACGAAGGGACCUAGCGUAGUUCGGAAUUACUGGGCUUAAAGAGUUCGUAGGUGGUUGAAAAAGUUGGUGGUGAAAUCCCAGAGCUUAACUCUGGAACUGCCAUCAAAACUUUUCAGCUAGAGUUUGAUAGAGGAAAGCAGAAUUUCUAGUGUAGAGGUGAGAUUCGUAGAUAUUAGAAAGAAUACCAAUUGCGAAGGCAGCUUUCUGGAUCAUUACUGACACUGAGGAACGAAAGCAUGGGUAGCGAAGAGGAUUAGAUACCCUCGUAGUCCAUGCCGUAAACGAUGUGUGUUAGACGUUGGAAAUUUAUUUUCAGUGUCGCAGCGAAAGCGAUAAACACACCGCCUGGGGAGUAC